UGCAUUCACUACUGUAAAUCGCUCUGGAUAAGAGCGUCUACUAAAUGACUAAAA
Non-coding RNA from Salmo salar (Atlantic salmon), 54 nucleotides. The record is from Rfam. NCBI's taxonomy places the organism in Eukaryota, Metazoa, Chordata, Actinopteri, Salmoniformes, Salmonidae.